AACCUAGCACACCUGCGGUGUGUACCUGCGGAGGGAUCAUUACCGAGUUUACAACUCCCAAACCCCUGUGAACAUACCUAUACGUUGCCUCGGCGGAUCAGCCCGCGCCCCGUAAAAAGGGACGGCCCGCCCGAGGACCCCUAAACUCUGUUUUUAGUGGAACUUCUGAGUAAAACAAACAAAUAAAUCAAAACUUUUAGCAACGGAUCU
RNAcentral lists this unclassified non-coding RNA (210 nucleotides) under soil metagenome. RNAcentral describes it as "partial contains 5.8S ribosomal RNA, internal transcribed spacer 2, and large subunit ribosomal RNA". The record is from RNAcentral.